UGUGUAAGCCUCCCCAACAUAAACUAAGGU
RNAcentral lists this non-coding RNA (30 nucleotides) under Homo sapiens (human). Lineage: Eukaryota; Metazoa; Chordata; Mammalia; Primates; Hominidae. The record is from RNAcentral.